UCUAAUAUGGCAGAUUAGUGCAUUGGAUUUAAACCCCAAUUAUAAAGUUUAAACUUUUUUUAGAAAA
Molecule: transfer RNA, 67 nt
Filed under: Aleochara heeri
Lineage: Eukaryota; Metazoa; Arthropoda; Insecta; Coleoptera; Staphylinidae
Description: tRNA leu
Rfam family: tRNA
About the family: Transfer RNA (tRNA) molecules are approximately 80 nucleotides in length.
Source: RNAcentral